GUAGGGUGGCAAGCGUUGUCCGGAAUUAUUGGGCGUAAAGCGCGCGCAGGCGGUCCUUUAAGUCUGGGUGUGAAAGCCCACGGCUCAACCGUGGAGGGUCAUUGGAAACUGGGGGACUUGAGUACAGAAGAGGAAAGCGGAAUUCCAAGUGUAGCGGUGAAAUGCGUAGAGAUUUGGAGGAACACCAGUGGCGAAGGCGGCUUUCUGGUCUGUAACUGACGCUGAGGCGCGAAAGCGUGGGAGCAAACAGGAUUAGAUACCCUGGUAGUCCACGCCGUAAACGAUGAGUGCUAAGUGUUAGGGGGUUUCCGCCCCUUAGUGCUGCAGCUAACGCAUUAAGCACUCCGCCUGGGGAGUACGGCCGCAAGGCUG
Molecule: ribosomal RNA, 372 nt
Filed under: uncultured organism
Description: partial 16S ribosomal RNA
Rfam family: Bacterial small subunit ribosomal RNA
Source: RNAcentral